RNAcentral lists this ribosomal RNA (495 nucleotides) under uncultured bacterium. Its description in RNAcentral is "partial 16S ribosomal RNA". It matches the Rfam family "Bacterial small subunit ribosomal RNA", at positions 28 to 507 of the family's 1533-position model. The record is from RNAcentral.
GACGAACGCUGGCGGCGUGCCUAAUACAUGCAAGUAGAACGCUGAAGGAGGAGCUUGCUUCUCUGGAUGAGUUGCGAACGGGUGAGUAACGCGUGGGUAACCUGCCUGGUAGCGGGGGAUAACUAUUGGAAACGAUAGCUAAUACCGCAUAAGAGUAGAUGUCGCAUGACAUUUGCUUAAAAGGUGCAAUUGCAUCACUACCAGAUGGACCUGCGUUGUAUUAGCUAGUUGGUGAGGUAACGGCUCACCAAGGCAACGAUACAUAGCCGACCUGAGAGGGUGAUCGGCCACACUGGGACUGAGACACGGCCCAGACUCCUACGGGAGGCAGCAGUAGGGAAUCUUCGGCAAUAGACGGAAGUCUGACCGAGCAACGCCGCGUGAGUGAAGAAGGUUUUCGGAUCGUAAAGCUCUGUUGUAAGAGAAGAACGAGUGUGAGAGUGGAAAGUUCACACUGUGACGGUAUCUUACCAGAAAGGGACGGCUAACUACGUG